UGGGGAAUUUUGCACAAUGGGGGAAACCCUGAUGCAGCGACGCCGCGUGAUUUAGAAGGCCUUCGGGUUGUAAAAAUCUUUUCUAUGGGAAGAAAAUGACAGUACCAUAGGAAUAAGGACCGGCUAAUUACGUGCCAGCAGCCGCGGUAAUACGUAAGGUCCGAGCGUUGUCCGGAAUCAUUGGGCGUAAAGGGUACGUAGGCGGGUAAGCAAGUUAGAAGUGAAAUCCUAUAGCUCAACUAUAGUAAGCUUUUAAAACUGCUCAUCUUGAGGUAUGGAAGGGAAAGUGGAAUUCCUAGUGGAGCGGUGAAAUGCGCAGAUAUUAGGAGGAAUACCGGUGGCGAAGGCGACUUUCUGGCCAUAACCUGACGCUGAGGUACGAAAGCGUGGGUAGCAAACAGG
This 402-nucleotide ribosomal RNA is filed under the name bacterium. RNAcentral's name for it is "partial 16S ribosomal RNA". It matches the Rfam family "Bacterial small subunit ribosomal RNA", at positions 355 to 776 of the family's 1533-position model. RNAcentral also lists the same sequence under 1 other name. The record is from RNAcentral.